GGGAAUGUGACUUAGUGGUAAAGUGCUUGCCUAACAUGCAUGAAGCCCUGGGUUUAAUUCCUCAAUACCA
Molecule: non-coding RNA, 70 nt
Organism: Dipodomys ordii (Ord's kangaroo rat)
Lineage: Eukaryota; Metazoa; Chordata; Mammalia; Rodentia; Heteromyidae
Source: Rfam